This 497-nucleotide ribosomal RNA is filed under the name uncultured bacterium. Its description in RNAcentral is "partial 16S ribosomal RNA". It matches the Rfam family "Bacterial small subunit ribosomal RNA", at positions 28 to 507 of the family's 1533-position model. The record is from RNAcentral.
GAUGAACGCUGGCGGCGUGCCUAAUACAUGCAAGUCGAGCGAACGGACGAGAAGCUUGCUUCUCUGAUGUUAGCGGCGGACGGGUGAGUAACACGUGGAUAACCUACCUAUAAGACUGGGAUAACUUCGGGAAACCGGAGCUAAUACCGGAUAAUAUUUUGAACCGCAUGGUUCAAAAGUAAAAGACGGUCUUGCUGUCACUUAUAGAUAGAUCCGCGCUGCAUUAGCUAGUUGGUAAGGUAACGGCUUACCAAGGCAACGAUGCAUAGCCGACCUGAGAGGGUGAUCGGCCACACUGGAACUGAGACACGGUCCAGACUCCUACGGGGGGCAGCAGUAGGGAAUCUUCCGCAAUGGGCGAAAGCCUGACGGAGCAACGCCGCGUGAGUGAUGAAGGUCUUCGGAUCGUAAAACUCUGUUAUUAGGGAAGAACAUAUGUGUAAGUAACUGUGCACAUCUUGACGGUACCUAAUCAGAAAGCCACGGCUAACUACGUG